AGAGGGCUCAAGCGUUAAUCGGAAUCACUGGGCUUAAAGGGUGCGCAGGCGGACAGGUAAGUGUCUUGUGAAAUCCCACGGCUCAACCGUGGAAUUGCUCGGCAGACUGCCUGUCUUGAGCUCGGCAGGGGCCGUCGGAACUCUAGGUGGAGCGGUGAAAUGCGUAGAUAUCUAGAGGAACGCCAAAGGUGAAGACAGACGGCUGGGCCGACGCUGACGCUCAGGCACGAAAGCGUGGGGGUAGCGAACGGGAUUAGAUACCCCGGUAGUCCAUGCCCUAAACGAUGUGCACUAGGUCGAGGAGGUUUUGACGCCAUCUCGGCCGCAGUAAAACAUUAAGUGCACCGCCUGGGAGUACGGUCGCAAGGCUA
RNAcentral lists this ribosomal RNA (371 nucleotides) under uncultured organism. RNAcentral describes it as "partial 16S ribosomal RNA". It matches the Rfam family "Bacterial small subunit ribosomal RNA", at positions 527 to 896 of the family's 1533-position model. The record is from RNAcentral.